Molecule: non-coding RNA, 186 nt
Organism: Podarcis lilfordi (Lilford's wall lizard)
Lineage: Eukaryota; Metazoa; Chordata; Lepidosauria; Squamata; Lacertidae
Source: the annotation of a GenBank genome assembly
ACGUGGCUGACAAUUCAGAAAAUCUCUCUCUCUCUCUCUCUCUCACACACACACACACACUACUUACUGAAGUCUGCCUCCUUUGAACCACAAUAUUAUGAAUAAUAGGUUCAAAGGAGGCAGACUUCAGUAAGUAGUGUGUGUGUGUGAGAGAGAGAGGGGGGGGGAGGGAGAGAGAUUUUUCUG